GGAAUUUUGGACAAUGGGCGAAAGCCUGAUCCAACAAUGCCGCGUGCAGGAUGAAGGCCUUCGGGUUGUAAACUGCUUUUGUACGGAACGAAACGGUCUUUUCUAAUACAGAAGGCUAAUGACGGUACCGUAAGAAUAAGCACCGGCUAACUACCUGCCAGCAGCCGCGGUAAUACGUAGGGUGCAAGCGUUAAUCGGAAUUACUGGGCGUAAAGCGUGCGCAGGCGGUUAUGUAAGACAGUUGUGAAAUCCCCGGGCUCAACCUGGGAAUUGCAUCUGUGACUGCAUAGCUAGAGUACGGUAGAGGGGGAUGGAAUUCCGCGUGUAGCAGUGAAAUGCGUAGAUAUGCGGAGGAACACCGAUGGCGAAGGCAAUCCCCUGGACCUGUACUGACGCUCAUGCACGAAAGCGUGGGGAGCAAACAGGAUUAGAUACCCUGG
This 440-nucleotide ribosomal RNA is filed under the name uncultured Variovorax sp. RNAcentral describes it as "bacterial SSU rRNA". It matches the Rfam family "Bacterial small subunit ribosomal RNA", at positions 358 to 790 of the family's 1533-position model. Lineage: Bacteria; Pseudomonadati; Pseudomonadota; Betaproteobacteria; Burkholderiales; Comamonadaceae. The record is from RNAcentral.